GUUUGGUCCAUCGCAGGUUAUCUGUAUUUCCAUACCCCCUUAUUGUUCUCCUUUGCCUGACCUUCGGCUUGCAAGGUAUGUUGUCCUUGGCUCCGAAAUUGUUCAAUAUAAAACCGUGGUAAUGUUACACAAGGUACUGUUAUGCACCAUAAAUUUGUUACAAUGUGGAUAAUAUAAAUUAUCCUAAUUAAAAGUACACAAUGCAGAACGAACCACGCUACAUAGGCAUAUAUAAACAAUGUAUUUAACUUGUAAACCAAGGUUGGAUUAGUUGGUCUGAACAACAUGCAAUCCGAUAAUCGCGUCAUGAAUCGGGAUGGGCUCCUACAUCCUCAUAUACACAUUAUGACAUAAUAAAGAGUUUAAUCUUUCACGAAAUAAAGACAAAGAAGCAUACCCAUUUAUACAGGUUCUACACAUUCCAUUUCUCCAUGGCAAUAGAAUGUAAACAUUCUAUUUUGCGCCAAACAUCCCUACAACUCAAUUCUAAGUGCAGCAUAUUGGACGACUCCACAGUCAUUGAUCAUUCGCGACUUUAAGUCACUCCUGUUAUCUCUAGAGCAUCCCGUAUAUCUAUAGCGCUGCAUUUCUUCCCCAUCUUACCAUGGAUAGGGUUUGGUGCUUUCCGGAGUUCACUUAUGGUCCCACAAAGGUAAUCUUUGGAGAAAUUAAUUUUAGCAUACUGUAAAUGCCUGUGCAUAAUGUGCAUAACAAAGCAUCAUUAUUUUCAUUAUCUUCAAAGGAUUUCUGUAGAAGCAGCCUUUAUUUUCAGACUCUGCAGGCCUGCUGGGAGGAAACAUAUUACAAUAAACAGAAGAAGCUCAUGGUCCACUAUCUGCUGCUCCAGAGUCAAGGCCAGGUCCCUCCCCAUGUCACCACGGAGCACAUGAGCAACUGGCUGGUGUCUCAGGGCAAAAAAUCUCUUAGGGAGAGGUGAGUACCACGUCAGCACUCACAUUCACUGCCAUUCCCUGCCACCAGCAGCACUCCAGGAGGUGUGGGAAAAAUAAACAACAGAAAAAUCAGAAGGCAGGAAAGUUGAAUUGCUCUGUGUUUUAUUUGAAGGGUGUGGAAGGAAACCCUGGAGGAAGGAAACGACCUCGCUCGGCUGGUAAGAGAAUGAGAGUUAGAGACAAACUACAAGUUAGUGAGCUCUUUACUAGCCUUUCAACAACGAGUUAGCACAGCAGAAUAGAUCUGUUGUGAAAUUACACCAAUGGGACUUCCUGUUUCAUACUGCAGGCCUGGGAAGUAAACACUUGCCUAAAAAUGAUGAACAUAGAGCACGAGGCUUUCUGCAAGCUCCGCCGCUCCAUGCACCCCACCUCGCCAGCUGACAUGUGAGUUCCAUGUACUGCCCUGCAUAUGACUUGAUCCAUUUAUCUACACAUCUGGAACUACGCAGAAACAGACUAAGGCGGUGUUCUAAGUGAGUACAUUGCACAUCGUUUACCUUUGUUUUCUCCUUUUUGUUGAUUUCAGCGAUCCGAAGGUCCACAGCAUCGUGGAGAAAGCUGUGAGAAGCAUUCUGGGCGAGCAGUCCAAUGAGCCCCGUAGCAACCUGCUCAGCCCAUCUCAGGUGGUGGUGGAGGUGGUGCCCAGGCUCCUCCUGGCCCUGUGGCUUCAGCCAGAGGAAGGCCAUUCAGAGC
RNAcentral lists this long non-coding RNA (1649 nucleotides) under Oncorhynchus kisutch (coho salmon). Its description in RNAcentral is "lncRNA (ENSOKIG00005028781.1)". The record is from RNAcentral. Lineage: Eukaryota; Metazoa; Chordata; Actinopteri; Salmoniformes; Salmonidae.